This is a non-coding RNA of Cinara cedri, 225 nucleotides long. The record is from the annotation of a GenBank genome assembly. NCBI's taxonomy places the organism in Eukaryota, Metazoa, Arthropoda, Insecta, Hemiptera, Aphididae.
CUAUAUUUUUAGCAAAGUACUAUAAUUGAAUAAUAACACUGAAACUACACUUUACUAUACAGAGUCUAUAUAAUCGUAUCGUUUAAAUUUCCACUACUAAAAACAAAAUUGUUGGAUAUGUGAUAUUCCAGACAACCUGCUCAUGAUGUGUCAUAGGUAAUACAAAAAGAUUGAAGAAUUUUACAUUUUACAUUUUUAGACUCUGAGCGGAGCGAGGAAUGUAUU